RNAcentral lists this ribosomal RNA (217 nucleotides) under uncultured prokaryote. RNAcentral's name for it is "partial 16S ribosomal RNA". It matches the Rfam family "Bacterial small subunit ribosomal RNA", at positions 524 to 740 of the family's 1533-position model. The record is from RNAcentral.
UACGGAGGGUGCUAGCGUUGUUCGGAAUUACUGGGCGUAAAGAGCGCGUAGGCGGUUUGACAAGUUGGAAGUGAAAGCCCGAGGCUUAACCUCGGAAUUGCUUUCAAAACUGUUGAACUAGAGAGCGAUAGAGGAUGGUGGAAUUCCUAGUGUAGAGGUGAAAUUCUUAGAUAUUAGGAGGAACACCGGUGGCGAAGGCGGCCAUCUGGGUCGUUUC